GCAGCCCCCAACUUCACCACACACACAGUGGCCUGGACUGGGGUCACGUUUCUGCUUCACUAGCUAAGUGGGUAGAGGCCUGGCCACUACAUGGAUGGGAGACCUGUAGAGAACAAUGAGUGGGGGGCGCU
Molecule: ribosomal RNA, 131 nt
Filed under: Chrysemys picta bellii (western painted turtle)
Lineage: Eukaryota; Metazoa; Chordata; Testudines; Emydidae
Source: RNAcentral